GAUGAAGAACGUAGCAAAAUGCGAUAAGUAAUGUGAAUUGCAGAAUUCAGUGAAUCAUCGAAUCUUUGAACGCACAUUGCGCCCGCCAGUAUUCUGGCGGGCAUGCCUGUUCGAGCGUCAUUUCAACCCUCAAGCACAGCUUGGUGUUGGGACUCGCGUUAAUUCGCGUUCCUCAAAUUGAUUGGCGGUCACGUCGAGCUUCCAUAGCGUAGUAGUAAAACCCUCGUUACUGGUAAUCGUCGCGGCCACGCCGUUAAACCCCAACUUCUGAAUGUUGACCUUGGAUCAGGUAGGAAUACCCGCUGAACUUAAGCAUAUCAAUAAGCGGAGGA
This 332-nucleotide unclassified non-coding RNA is filed under the name soil metagenome. RNAcentral's name for it is "partial contains 5.8S ribosomal RNA, internal transcribed spacer 2, and large subunit ribosomal RNA". The stretch from base 1 to 120 matches the Rfam family "5.8S ribosomal RNA", at positions 35 to 154 of the family's 154-position model. The record is from RNAcentral.